This 333-nucleotide ribosomal RNA is filed under the name uncultured bacterium. RNAcentral's name for it is "bacterial SSU rRNA". It matches the Rfam family "Bacterial small subunit ribosomal RNA", at positions 8 to 352 of the family's 1533-position model. The record is from RNAcentral.
AGAGUUUGAUCCUGGCUCAGGAUGAACGCUAGCGGCAGGCCUAAUACAUGCAAGUCGAACGGUGUCUUCGGACAUAGUGGCGCACGGGUGCGUAACACGUAUGCAACCUACCUUACAUUGGGGGAUAGCCUUUCGAAAGGGAGAUUAAUACCGCAUAAGACAGUAGUCUGGCAUCAGACAGCUGUUAAAGAUUUAUCGAUGUAUGCUGGGCAUGCGUCCAAUUAGUUAGUUGGCGAGGUAACGGCUCACCAAGACUAUGAUUGGUAGGGGAACUGAGAGGUCAAUCCCCCACACUGGCACUGAGAUACGGGCCAGACUCCUACGGGAGGCAGC